This 282-nucleotide unclassified non-coding RNA is filed under the name uncultured Wardomyces. RNAcentral's name for it is "sequence contains ITS2". The stretch from base 1 to 53 matches the Rfam family "5.8S ribosomal RNA", at positions 102 to 154 of the family's 154-position model. The record is from RNAcentral. Lineage: Eukaryota; Fungi; Ascomycota; Sordariomycetes; Microascales.
GAACGCACAUUGCGCCCGGCAGUAAUCUGCCGGGCAUGCCUGUCCGAGCGUCAUUUCUGCCCUCGAGCGCGGCUGCCUUUCGGGGCUGCCGCUGCCCGGCGUUGGGGCGCUACGGGAAGCCUCGCGCUACCCCCCGUAGGCCCCGAAAUGAAGUGGCGGUCCUGCCGCGGCGCCCCCUGCGUAGUAUUACAGCUCGCAUCGGGACCCGGUGGAGACCAGCCGUCAAACCAUACUUUCUAAGUUUGACCUCGGAUCAGGUAGGGUUACCCGCUGAACUUAAGC